UUCAGAAGUUGAUCCGGCGUCCGCUCGGCUGCUUUCGGGGUUGGAUGCUCCCGUGGACCUCGGCUUCGGGAUCACGUUCCUCUCGUGGUUAUCUUGUCCUGGGGGGGCGUACGGUGGGAUUUCAUUUGGACGGUUCUGGGCUGAAAAUGAUGUGACAGAGGAAGAGGCUUCUGCAGUGCUUUCAUCUUUGCAUUCUGUAUCCGUUGUCCUGCCCAAAUGCAUAACACACGGAAGGAAUACAGUGUCGCUUAUUCUGGGAGGGACAGUGGGGUGCACGGAUGGUCAUGGAUGUGGAAUCACUUCAUCUGAAAUGCCCCACCCAAGAGUGACAUCAUCUAUCUGGUUUCUAGGCCUUUCCUUCCUUUUCAUGUCACAAUUCAAGUUACAGUCCAUCACUGGGAAGAAUCAAGGCAGGAACCUGGAUCCAUUGGGCACAUCCAGAGUCAAGGGCAAAGAGAAAUGAAUGCGUGCAUGGUUAGUACUCCUCUGGCUCUCUCCACUCUUACACAGUCAGGGCCCCAAGGCAGGGAAUAGUGCUGCCCACUUUCAGGCUGGAUCUUCCCACAGCAAUGAAGGCAGUCAAGACAGUCCCUCACAGAUGUGUCUACAGGCAAACCUGAUGUAGACAGUCCCUUACUGAGACUCUCUUUCCAGGUGAUUCUAGGUUGCGUCAUGUUACAAUCUAACCAUCACACAGGGGGACAAGAUUUCCAUUACCUUAUCAAAUGCCCUUCCUAGAAUUAAUCUGUGCAUGUGUUUAAGAGUUCACACGGAGGCUGGAUGUGUCCUCAAUUGAUCUCCCACUUUAUUUCUUUUGUUUUUUUUAACCAUAUAUAUAUGUGCGUGCAUUAUGUACAUGCAUGUAUGGGUAUAUGUGUUCUAUGGUGUAUAUAUGAUGGUUCGAGGACAAUGCCUUCCAUCUUUCCAUGGGUUCCAGGGAUCAGGCUUGUACAAAAAGCUUUUUACUCACUGAGUCAUCUUAGCUUUUGAGACAGGGUCUCUUACUGAACCUGGAGCUCACUCAAUUAGCUAGGCUGACUAGCCAGUGAACUCCAGGGAUCUGCCUGUCUGUGCAUCUGCCUGUCCCCACUCCCCCAGAACGGGGUUAUAGAUGUAAACAACAGCAUACAGCUUUUAUGUGAGUUCUGGGGAUCCCAACAAGCACUUUGCUGACUCAGCCGUAGCACUGAGGACUAUGACCACAUGGCAGUGCAUAUUGUCUCUAGUCUCUUUUUAAUCUAAGCUUUUUCAUUACAUAGUAGUCCUCUACAUGGUGAUUUGCUCUAGAGGAGACCAAUACUAACGUAGAAUUACACAGUAGAUACUAAAGAUCUUCAGAGGCUUGAGGAAAAAACAGCAAAAUUAGAGGUGGUUGGAUUUGUUUUAGUAAGUAAAUAAAAGCUUUGUUUUGGAGAACUUUAAGAUGAAUAAUAUUGGGGCUGGAGAGGUGACUGACUCAGUGGUUAAGAGCACUGGCUGUUCUUGCAGAGAACU
Molecule: long non-coding RNA, 1494 nt
Organism: Nannospalax galili (Upper Galilee mountains blind mole rat)
Lineage: Eukaryota; Metazoa; Chordata; Mammalia; Rodentia; Spalacidae
Exons: 3
Source: RefSeq, a predicted model, not a curated record